Molecule: long non-coding RNA, 345 nt
Organism: Panicum virgatum (switchgrass)
Lineage: Eukaryota; Viridiplantae; Streptophyta; Magnoliopsida; Poales; Poaceae
Exons: 2
Source: RefSeq, a predicted model, not a curated record
UGCUGCUAUUAGGAACCUGGAUAACCCGGCAGGGACAUACCCACCAGGUUAUCUACUCAACUACGCACUGGCUCCGUACAUGGGCUAUCCUUCAGAAGUAUACUUUGCAGGACAAGCUUGUAGCGGCCUCUCAUUUCUUGGCACAGGUGGCCAAGGAUUUUUUUUGCCCGGGCACAUGGGUGGCGGUCUAGUCUUCGGAUUGACAGUCAUUAGUGUGGAAGGAUCUUUAUCAAACUCUUUUUAGGCUGUGUGUCGUUUAGGCAGAGGUCGGGAAAAUUUCAAGACGAUGUAUCACCUUGAUGUAUUGUGCUUGAAAUCAAUAAAAUUUCCCUUUUCAAAAAAAAA